Mastomys coucha (southern multimammate mouse) is the source of this 142-nucleotide small nucleolar RNA. RefSeq annotates it as small nucleolar RNA SNORA48. The transcript has a single exon. The record is from RefSeq and is a predicted model, not a curated record. Lineage: Eukaryota; Metazoa; Chordata; Mammalia; Rodentia; Muridae.
GGCCCCUGGCAAUGGGCAAAGAGAUACCUUGUUGGUGGUGUUGUUCUUAUAUUAGUCAGGAGCAGAGUAGAUGGCAGCUCUUUGUCAUCCUAGCUUGAUGCCUGGCUUGGCGGCAAAACUGUUUUAUACCUAGGACACAUAA